CCAGAUAGCCAUCAACAAACCCUAACCCUAACAAAAACCUAUCCGCUUCUAUCCUCACCUUCUUGUCCAAAAUUUGUGCUUCCAAAAAUGGCCAACGCCUGUAUGGCCAUGAGAAACCUGCUUUCUCUUGCACAAAAACGUUUCUUCAACACAUCUGUUAUACUUCCCACUGCUUCAUCAUCAUUUACUGCUGAAUAUCUCAUCAAGACAUGCGGGCUUCCUUUACAACCAGGCCUUUCAGUUUCCAAAAAGCUCCAAAUCGAUGAAAAUAACCUCCAAAACUCGCAAGCUGUAGUAGAAUUCCUUAAAUCUCACCAUUUUAAGGAUGCCCACAUCGCCAAAAUGGUCCAAAAGUGUCCUGCUGUCCUCCGUUGCAAAGUUGAGGACAAUCUGGAGCCCAAAUUUGACUUCUUCAUUAAAAAUGGAUUUGAGGGUCAACUUCUGCCCCAAAUUCUGAUGUCGGAUCCGAGAAUUUUGGUAUGCAGAUUAGAUACUCGCAUUAAGCCAUGUUUAGAACUUUUGAAGCCAUUUCUUGGCAGUAAUGAGAAUAUCAUAGCUGUUCUUAAGCGUGCUUCGUGGUUAUUGACAUAUAGUUUCAAGUCAUGUGUGCAACCAAAUAUUGAUUUCCUGAUUAAAGAGGGGUUGCCUCUUGAUAAGAUGGCAAAACUGUUAAUGUCGUACCCAAGAACCAUACUAAUUAAGCAUGAUAGGAUGGUUUCUGCAGCAAAUUAUCUUAAGAAUUUGGGGCUUGAACCGAAGGCUCCUAUGUUUAUCCACGCUUUUAGGGUGAUGGUACAAUUGAGCGAACCAACUUGGAAGAAGAAAAUUGAGGCUUGGAAGAGCGUUGGCUGGAGCGAAGGGGAGAUUUUGGGGACUUUUAAGCGAUUCCCGUUUCUUUUAUCAUGCUCAGAGGAGAAAAUCAACUGCAUGAUGGAUUUCUUUGUGAAUACAGUGAAGCUGGGACACCAAACUAUUACUGCAAAUCCCUCAAUUUUCAAGUAUUCGUUUGAUAAGAGGAUUUAUCCGAGGUAUAAUGUUUUGAAGGUUUUGGAGUCAAAGAAGCUAAUUAGAGUCAGGAAGACUGCAACUUUCUUAAAAAUAAGCGAGGAGAAGUUCUUGGAGAAUUAUAUUACCAAGUACGAGGGCAAAGUUCCUGGUUUAUUGGAGAUAUAUGGGAGCAUUAGAAAAACGAAGGGACUAUAACUUGAUGGCAAAAUACUUUGGCUUCAAAAUAGCAGGGGUGUUGGAUAUGAAGAAGUUCAUGGCCAAUUAGCUCUCUUGCUGGUGCAUAUGAAAUACUGGCGGGUCACUGUCAUACUCAGGAACUCAGGAAGCUGGUCUCAAAUACUCAACAAUAAGGUUGUUUGGGAGAGGCAAAAUCUAUACUUCCGGCAGGGUUUCAAACUGCAGCAAUGCAGUUAGAUACAAACUAUGUUACAAGCGUGAUUCCAGAAGUGUAUAAUUAUCUAAACAGUUGUAUUUCCUUUCCACGUUGGAUUAUGUGGAUUUGGGAGGUGAUGUUUUCUUGUAAUCAUACUGCGUAUCAGAUUUGCAUCCUUUUUGGGAUUUUUUGGAUGGUUUAUUUGCCAUCAGUGGCAGAUAAAGUGAGAGAAUGCAAGAUGUUUUAUUCUAGUGGAAAUAAUUGAGAGUUAGAAGAGAAACAUAGUUUUCUUCUUCAAUUUACAUUCAAGAUUACAUUUUCUCAAGGUAAGUUUUUCCUUUAAAUAAUUAUUAAAAUGUAAAAAUCAGGGCAUUAUAAUCUAUAUUUAAUUGUUCAUAUUUACAAUUAAAGACUUGCAUACAUAUUGCCCUUGAUCUCUCAUCGAAUGAACGACUACCUUUCCUUGAUGCAAUCAUUCUGCCAUUAUGAGUUCUAUUUGUGUGCCCCUUCUUCAAUUCCUUUCCAUCUCUUAAACUUUAAAGCUCAGUUGGCGACAUGAGCACUUCAUCUUCUGGGAUUCGCGAGCUUCAGAAGCAGUUUUCUUGAAGUGAUAAACUUCAGUCCUAUGCUAUAGUAAAGACUAUGCAGUUGAUUGUUCCAUGUUUUCCAAGGAGCUAGAUGGAGGUUCUUCAACAAGUAAUAGUGGGGGCAGAAAGCAAGUAUGUUGGUUUUGUUAUGGUGAGAAACUGCAUGGUCACUGGCAUUGUAGCUUUUAGGGAGCUGUUAUUCAUUGCAGAUGUGUGCUUUAGAAUCGUGUUGGAGAAGUCCUCUUUUUAUUAACACAUACACACAUAUAUAUACAUUUGUAAUGUAUAGGAAAUACAUUGAAUCUCAUACAAAAACUCGGCAUGAUAUUUAUGUGCUGAAUUCUCA
Populus trichocarpa (black cottonwood) is the source of this 2314-nucleotide RNA transcript. RefSeq lists it as uncharacterized. NCBI's taxonomy places the organism in Eukaryota, Viridiplantae, Streptophyta, Magnoliopsida, Malpighiales, Salicaceae. The transcript is spliced from 3 exons. The record is from RefSeq and is a predicted model, not a curated record.